CCUACGGGCUGCUGCAGUGAGGAAUAUUGGUCAAUGGACGAGAGUCUGAACCAGCCAAGUAGCGUGAAGGAUGACUGCUCUAUGGGUUGUAAACUUCUUUUAUAUGGGAAUAAAAUGUUCCACGUGUGGGACUUUGUAUGUAUCAUAAGAAUAAGGCUCGGCUAACUCCGUGCCAGCAGCCGCGGUAAUACGGAGGGUCCGAGCGUUCUCCGGAUUUAUUGGGUUUAAAGGGAGCGUAGGUGGAUUGUUAAGUCAGUAGUGAAAGUUUGCGGCUCAACCGUAAAAUUGCAGUUGAAACUGGGAGUCUUGAGUGCAGUAGAGGUGGGCGGAAUUCGUGGUGUAGCGGUGAAAUGCUUAGAUAUCACGAAGAACUCCGAUGGCGAAGGCAGCUCACUGGACUGCAACUGACGCUGAGGCUCGAAAGUGUGGGUAUCAAACAGGAUUAGAUACCCCAGUAGUC
Molecule: ribosomal RNA, 460 nt
Filed under: uncultured bacterium
Lineage: Bacteria
Description: partial 16S ribosomal RNA
Rfam family: Bacterial small subunit ribosomal RNA
Source: RNAcentral